CCUACGGGCGGCAGCAGUGGGGAAUAUUGGACAAUGGGGGGAACCCUGAUCCAGCCAUGCCGCGUGUGUGAAGAAGGCCCUCGGGUUGUAAAGCACUUUCAGUGAGGAAGAACGCCUGGUGGUUAAUACCCAUCAGGAAAGACAUCACUCACAGAAGAAGCACCGGCUAACUCCGUGCCAGCAGCCGCGGUAAUACGGAGGGUGCGAGCGUUAAUCGGAAUUACUGGGCGUAAAGUGCGCGUAGGUGGCUUGAUAAGCCGGUUGUGAAAGCCCCGGGCUCAACCUGGGAACGGCAUCCGGAACUGUCAAGCUAGAGUGCAGGAGAGGAAGGUAGAAUUCCCGGUGUAGCGGUGAAAUGCGUAGAGAUCGGGAGGAAUACCAGUGGCGAAGGCGGCCUUCUGGACUGACACUGACACUGAGGUGCGAAAGCGUGGGUAGCAAACAGGAUUAGAUACCCCAGUAGUC
RNAcentral lists this ribosomal RNA (465 nucleotides) under Vreelandella stevensii. RNAcentral describes it as "partial 16S ribosomal RNA". It matches the Rfam family "Bacterial small subunit ribosomal RNA", at positions 338 to 795 of the family's 1533-position model. The record is from RNAcentral. Lineage: Bacteria; Pseudomonadati; Pseudomonadota; Gammaproteobacteria; Oceanospirillales; Halomonadaceae.